ACUGACACCAGAGGCAAUACAGGCCCACUGCUGAGUGAGGUGGGUGCCCUGGUGACAGAGAAUACAAAGAAGGUGGGGUUGCUGGAUGCCUUCUUUGUCU
Molecule: small nucleolar RNA, 100 nt
Filed under: Chaetura pelagica (chimney swift)
Lineage: Eukaryota; Metazoa; Chordata; Aves; Apodiformes; Apodidae
Description: Small nucleolar RNA SNORA17
Source: Rfam by way of RNAcentral